GCACCACAAGGGGUGAAGCCUGCGGUUCAAUUGGAGUCAACGCCAGAAAUCUUACCCGAAGAGACAGCAGAAUGAAGGUCAAGCUGGAGACUUUACCAGACAAGCUGAGAAGUGGUGCAUGGCCGUCGCCAGCUCGUGCCGUGAGAUGUCCUGUUAAGUCAGGUAACGAGCGAGAUCCCUGCCUCUAGUUGCCACCAUUACUCUCCGGAGUAGUGGGGCGAAUUAGCGGGACCGCCGUAGUUAAUACGGAGGAAGGAAGGGGCCACGGCAGGUCAGUAUGCCCUGAAACUUUGGGGCCACACGCGGGCUGCAAUGGUAGUGACAAUGGGUCCCAAAUCCGAAAGGAGGAGGUAAUCCUCAAACGCUACCUCAGUUAUGACUGAGGGCUGUAACUCGCCCUCACGAAUAUGGAAUCCCUAGUAACUGCGUGUCAUUACCGCGCGGUGAAUACGUCCCUGCUCCUUGCACACACCGCCCGUCGUUUCAUUGAAGUUUGCUUUUAGCGAGGUGACGUCAUUUUGGCGUUAUCGAACUUGAGGUAAGCAACAAGGGAA
Molecule: ribosomal RNA, 554 nt
Filed under: uncultured archaeon
Lineage: Archaea
Description: bacterial SSU rRNA
Rfam family: Archaeal small subunit ribosomal RNA
Source: RNAcentral